This 168-nucleotide ribosomal RNA is filed under the name Cochliasanthus caracalla. Its description in RNAcentral is "5.8S ribosomal RNA". It matches the Rfam family "5.8S ribosomal RNA". From Rfam's summary of the family: 5.8S ribosomal RNA (5.8S rRNA) is a component of the large subunit of the eukaryotic ribosome. It is transcribed by RNA polymerase I as part of the 45S precursor that also contains 18S and 28S rRNA. Functionally, it is thought that 5.8S rRNA may be involved in ribosome translocation. The record is from RNAcentral. Lineage: Eukaryota; Viridiplantae; Streptophyta; Magnoliopsida; Fabales; Fabaceae.
ACGCAAAAUGACUCUCGGCAACGGAUAUCUCGGCUCUUGCAUCGAUGAAGAACGUAGCGAAAUGCGAUACUUGGUGUGAAUUGCAGAAUCCCGUGAACCAUCGAGUCUUUGAACGCAAGUUGCGCCCAAAGCCAUUAGGUUGAGGGCACGCCUGCCUGGGUGUCACAC